Long non-coding RNA from Drosophila gunungcola (fruit fly), 240 nucleotides. RefSeq lists it as uncharacterized. The transcript has 2 exons. Lineage: Eukaryota; Metazoa; Arthropoda; Insecta; Diptera; Drosophilidae. The record is from RefSeq and is a predicted model, not a curated record.
CUUUAUUCAACUGGCUUAGUAUUUCAUGGCCCAUCAAAAGUUGGCAACAGGUGCAAUAUUUUAUGUGCGUUAUUAAUGUCUGCCCCAACUAUUGCUUCCACUCGAUUUGCUGGCAAAGCAAAGAAAUUCCUACCGCAAUUUUGAGGGAUGCAGCCCGUCACGAGCAAAAACCAUUUGGUCUGCCAAUAGUUGCCAUGGCGAUUCUUAUUUUGUUAAAUAAAUAUUAUUCAGAGCCAAAAA